RNAcentral lists this long non-coding RNA (361 nucleotides) under Homo sapiens (human). Its description in RNAcentral is "HSALNT0394262". The record is from RNAcentral. Lineage: Eukaryota; Metazoa; Chordata; Mammalia; Primates; Hominidae.
CAGAGCCAAGGUCACACCGCCCUACACCUUGCUGUCCCCACAGCAUCUGCAGGAGGAGCAUGCCAGGACCAGAGACCCAGGGAGCAGCCUCACCAGAGGGAAAAGAGCCUGUAGAGUGGUGAGCUCAGGGCCUCACUCUGUCCCCCAGGCCGGAGUGCAGUGACAUGAUACGGCCCUCCCCAGCCUCUACCUCCUGGGCUCAAGAGAUCCUCCUGCCGCGGACUUCCUGGUAGCUGGGAUGAGGGGUAACGGGAAUGGCAGGACUGUGGUUGAGCUUUGGGAGCCCGGGAAGGAAGGAUACUGGAGCUGGGCUGAUCCAGGACAGCUUCCUGGAGGAGGCGGGAUUUAAACUGGUCAAUGA